Molecule: transfer RNA, 74 nt
Filed under: Cestraeus oxyrhyncus (sharp-nosed river mullet)
Lineage: Eukaryota; Metazoa; Chordata; Actinopteri; Mugiliformes; Mugilidae
Description: tRNA-Leu
Rfam family: tRNA
About the family: Transfer RNA (tRNA) molecules are approximately 80 nucleotides in length. Their secondary structure includes four short double-helical elements and three loops (D, anti-codon, and T loops). Further hydrogen bonds mediate the characteristic L-shaped molecular structure. tRNAs have two regions of fundamental functional importance: the anti-codon, which is responsible for specific mRNA codon recognition, and the 3' end, to which the tRNAs corresponding amino acid is attached (by aminoacyl-tRNA synthetases). tRNAs cope with the degeneracy of the genetic code in two manners: having more than one tRNA (with a specific anti-codon) for a particular amino acid; and 'wobble' base-pairing, i.e. permitting non-standard base-pairing at the 3rd anti-codon position.
Source: RNAcentral
GUUAAGGUGGCAGAGCCCGGCAACUGCAAAAGACCUAAGCCCUUUCCACGGGGGUUCAAGUCCCCCCCUUAACU